Molecule: ribosomal RNA, 506 nt
Filed under: uncultured bacterium
Lineage: Bacteria
Description: partial 16S ribosomal RNA
Rfam family: Bacterial small subunit ribosomal RNA
Source: RNAcentral
GAUGAACGCUAGCUACAGGCUUAACACAUGCAAGUCGAGGGGUAACGAGAGGGAAGCUUGCUUUCCUUGUCGACGACCGGCGCACGGGUGAGUAACGCGUAUCCAACCUGCCCCCAACUAGGGAAUAAACUUGCGAAAGUAAGACUAAUACCCUAUAAUUUCCUCAGAUGUCAUCUGACGAGGAAUAAAGAUUUAUCGGUUGUGGAUGGGGAUGCGUCUGAUUAGCUUGUUGGCGGGGUAACGGCCCACCAAGGCAACGAUCAGUAGGGGUUCUAGGAGGAAGGUCCCCCGCAUUGGAACUGAGACACGGUCCAAACUCCUACGGGAGGCAGCAGUGAGGAAUAUUGGUCAAUGGGCGGAAGCCUGAACCAGCCAAGUAGCGUGCAGGAUGACGGCCCUAUGGGUUGUAAACUGCUUUUAUACAGGAAUAAAGUUAGCCACGUGUGGUUAUUUGUAGGUACUGUAUGAAUAAGGACCGGCUAAUUCCGUGCCAGCCGCCGCCGUAA